UAGAAAUGUCCCAGUGUGGUAUCUGGAGC
Molecule: non-coding RNA, 29 nt
Filed under: Homo sapiens (human)
Lineage: Eukaryota; Metazoa; Chordata; Mammalia; Primates; Hominidae
Source: RNAcentral